This 406-nucleotide ribosomal RNA is filed under the name uncultured bacterium. RNAcentral describes it as "partial 16S ribosomal RNA". It matches the Rfam family "Bacterial small subunit ribosomal RNA", at positions 29 to 526 of the family's 1533-position model. The record is from RNAcentral.
AUUGAACGCUGGCGGCAGGCCUAACACAUGCAAGUCGAGCGAGCGGAGGACGGGAGAGUAAUGCCUAGGCAUCUGCCUGGUAGUGGGGGAUAACUACUGGAAACGGUAGCUAAUACAGCAUACUAUCACAUGUGCCCAGAUGGGAUUAGCUAGUUUGGGGGGGAACGGGUCACCAAGGCGACGAUGCCUAGCUGGUCUGAGAGGAUGACCAGCCACACUGGACAUGUGACAAGGUUGAGAUUCCUACGGGAUGCAGCAGUGGGGAAGAUGGCACAAGGGGCUCAAGCCUGGUGCAGCCAUGCCGAGUGUAUGAAGAGGGCCGUCGGGUUGUAAAGUACUUUCAGCGGGGAGGGGUUACCCGCAGAAGAAGCACCGGCUAACUCCGUGCCAGCGGCAGCGGUAAUAC